UACGGAGGGGGCAAGCGUUAUUCGGAAUUAUUGGGCGUAAAGGGCGCGUAGGCGGCUAGAUGUGUCAGAGGUGAAAUCCCUCGGCUCAACUGAGGAACUGCACAGGAAACUGCUUGGCUUGAGUUCGGGAGAGGGAAGCGGAAUUCCGGGUGUAGCGGUGAAAUGCGUAGAUAUUGGGAGGAACACCAGUGGCGAAGGCGGCUACCUGGACCGGUUCUGACGCUGAGGCGCGAAAGCGUGGGUAGCAAACAGG
Molecule: ribosomal RNA, 253 nt
Filed under: uncultured bacterium
Lineage: Bacteria
Description: partial 16S ribosomal RNA
Rfam family: Bacterial small subunit ribosomal RNA
Source: RNAcentral